This is a non-coding RNA of Vitis vinifera (wine grape), 117 nucleotides long. RefSeq annotates it as microRNA MIR477b. The record is from RefSeq and is marked provisional. The transcript has a single exon. NCBI's taxonomy places the organism in Eukaryota, Viridiplantae, Streptophyta, Magnoliopsida, Vitales, Vitaceae.
GCCAACACGAGGCAUUUCUAUUGCUCACUCUUUCUCAAGGGCUUCUAGCAUUGCCAGUAACAAAAUGGCAAGCUCGAAGUCUUUGGGGAGAGUGGACAAACGUUGUCUCGAAUAUGC